Molecule: ribosomal RNA, 434 nt
Filed under: uncultured bacterium
Lineage: Bacteria
Description: partial 16S ribosomal RNA
Rfam family: Bacterial small subunit ribosomal RNA
Source: RNAcentral
AGCGAACGCUGGCGGCAUGCCUAACACAUGCAAGUCGAACGAACCCUUCGGGUCUAGUGGCGGACGGGUGCGUAACACGUGGGAACGUGCCCUUAGGUUCGGAAUAACUCAGGGAAACUGGUGCUAAUACCGAAUGUGCUCUUCGGGCGAAAGAUUUAUCGCCUUUAGAGCGGCCCGCGUUUGAUUAGCUAGUUGGUUGAGGUAAUGGCUAACCAAGGCGACGAUCAUUAGCUGGUCUGAGAGGAUGAUCAGCCACAUUGGGACUGAGACACGGCCCAAACUCCUACGGGAAGCAGCAGUGGGGAAUCUUGCGCAAUGGGCGAAAGCCUGACGCAGCCAUGCCGCGUGAAUGAUGAAGGUCUUAGGAUUGUAAAGUUCUUUCACCGGGGACGAUAAUGACGGUACCCGGAGAAGAAGCCCCGGCUAACUUCGUG